RNAcentral lists this ribosomal RNA (396 nucleotides) under uncultured Streptococcus sp. RNAcentral's name for it is "bacterial SSU rRNA". It matches the Rfam family "Bacterial small subunit ribosomal RNA", at positions 985 to 1382 of the family's 1533-position model. Lineage: Bacteria; Bacillati; Bacillota; Bacilli; Lactobacillales; Streptococcaceae. The record is from RNAcentral.
CAUCCCGAUGCUAUUUCUAGAGAUAGAAAGUUACUUCGGUACAUCGGUGACAGGUGGUGCAUGGUUGUCGUCAGCUCGUGUCGUGAGAUGUUGGGUUAAGUCCCGCAACGAGCGCAACCCCUAUUGUUAGUUGCCAUCAUUCAGUUGGGCACUCUAGCGAGACUGCCGGUAAUAAACCGGAGGAAGGUGGGGAUGACGUCAAAUCAUCAUGCCCCUUAUGACCUGGGCUACACACGUGCUACAAUGGUUGGUACAACGAGUUGCGAGUCGGUGACGGCGAGCUAAUCUCUUAAAGCCAAUCUCAGUUCGGAUUGUAGGCUGCAACUCGCCUACAUGAAGUCGGAAUCGCUAGUAAUCGCGGAUCGGCACGCCGCGGUGAAUACGUUCCCGGGCCUU